AUUGUAAAUUGUCCAAUGCAUUUUUCAGCUGAGUUUUGUAACUGACAAACUGCAAGAUGUCAGAAUGGUGCAGUAUACUGUAGAUAGCCAGUGAAGCGCAUGUAUUGUGCACAGCAGAGGCGCCAACACAGCCGAGCUCACUG
Salarias fasciatus (jewelled blenny) is the source of this 143-nucleotide long non-coding RNA. RefSeq lists it as uncharacterized. The transcript has 3 exons. The record is from RefSeq and is a predicted model, not a curated record. NCBI's taxonomy places the organism in Eukaryota, Metazoa, Chordata, Actinopteri, Blenniiformes, Blenniidae.